RNAcentral lists this ribosomal RNA (2797 nucleotides) under Escherichia coli. Its description in RNAcentral is "23S ribosomal RNA". It matches the Rfam family "Bacterial large subunit ribosomal RNA". The record is from RNAcentral. Lineage: Bacteria; Pseudomonadati; Pseudomonadota; Gammaproteobacteria; Enterobacterales; Enterobacteriaceae.
GGUUAAGCGACUAAGCGUACACGGUGGAUGCCCUGGCAGUCAGAGGCGAUGAAGGACGUGCUAAUCUGCGAUAAGCGUCGGUAAGGUGAUAUGAACCGUUAUAACCGGCGAUUUCCGAAUGGGGAAACCCAGUGUGAUUCGUCACACUAUCAUUAACUGAAUCCAUAGGUUAAUGAGGCGAACCGGGGGAACUGAAACAUCUAAGUACCCCGAGGAAAAGAAAUCAACCGAGAUUCCCCCAGUAGCGGCGAGCGAACGGGGAGCAGCCCAGAGCCUGAAUCAGUGUGUGUGUUAGUGGAAGCGUCUGGAAAGGCGUGCGAUACAGGGUGACAGCCCCGUACACAAAAAUGCACAUGCUGUGAGCUCGAUGAGUAGGGCGGGACACGUGGUAUCCUGUCUGAAUAUGGGGGGACCAUCCUCCAAGGCUAAAUACUCCUGACUGACCGAUAGUGAACCAGUACCGUGAGGGAAAGGCGAAAAGAACCCCGGCGAGGGGAGUGAAAAAGAACCUGAAACCGUGUACGUACAAGCAGUGGGAGCACNNUUAAGUUGCAGGGUAUAGACCCGAAACCCGGUGAUCUAGCCAUGGGCAGGUUGAAGGUUGGGUAACACUAACUGGAGGACCGAACCGACUAAUGUUGAAAAAUUAGCGGAUGACUUGUGGCUGGGGGUGAAAGGCCAAUCAAACCGGGAGAUAGCUGGUUCUCCCCGAAAGCUAUUUAGGUAGCGCCUCGUGAAUUCAUCUCCGGGGGUAGAGCACUGUUUCGGCAAGGGGGUCAUCCCGACUUACCAACCCGAUGCAAACUGCGAAUACCGGAGAAUGUUAUCACGGGAGACACACGGCGGGUGCUAACGUCCGUCGUGAAGAGGGAAACAACCCAGACCGCCAGCUAAGGUCCCAAAGUCAUGGUUAAGUGGGAAACGAUGUGGGAAGGCCCAGACAGCCAGGAUGUUGGCUUAGAAGCAGCCAUCAUUUAAAGAAAGCGUAAUAGCUCACUGGUCGAGUCGGCCUGCGCGGAAGAUGUAACGGGGCUAAACCAUGCACCGAAGCUGCGGCAGCGACGCUUAUGCGUUGUUGGGUAGGGGAGCGUUCUGUAAGCCUGCGAAGGUGUGCUGUGAGGCAUGCUGGAGGUAUCAGAAGUGCGAAUGCUGACAUAAGUAACGAUAAAGCGGGUGAAAAGCCCGCUCGCCGGAAGACCAAGGGUUCCUGUCCAACGUUAAUCGGGGCAGGGUGAGUCGACCCCUAAGGCGAGGCCGAAAGGCGUAGUCGAUGGGAAACAGGUUAAUAUUCCUGUACUUGGUGUUACUGCGAAGGGGGGACGGAGAAGGCUAUGUUGGCCGGGCGACGGUUGUCCCGGUUUAAGCGUGUAGGCUGGUUUUCCAGGCAAAUCCGGAAAAUCAAGGCUGAGGCGUGAUGACGAGGCACUACGGUGCUGAAGCAACAAAUGCCCUGCUUCCAGGAAAAGCCUCUAAGCAUCAGGUAACAUCAAAUCGUACCCCAAACCGACACAGGUGGUCAGGUAGAGAAUACCAAGGCGCUUGAGAGAACUCGGGUGAAGGAACUAGGCAAAAUGGUGCCGUAACUUCGGGAGAAGGCACGCUGAUAUGUAGGUGAAGUCCCUCGCGGAUGGAGCUGAAAUCAGUCGAAGAUACCAGCUGGCUGCAACUGUUUAUUAAAAACACAGCACUGUGCAAACACGAAAGUGGACGUAUACGGUGUGACGCCUGCCCGGUGCCGGAAGGUUAAUUGAUGGGGUCAGCGCAAGCGAAGCUCUUGAUCGAAGCCCCGGUAAACGGCGGCCGUAACUAUAACGGUCCUAAGGUAGCGAAAUUCCUUGUCGGGUAAGUUCCGACCUGCACGAAUGGCGUAAUGAUGGCCAGGCUGUCUCCACCCGAGACUCAGUGAAAUUGAACUCGCUGUGAAGAUGCAGUGUACCCGCGGCAAGACGGAAAGACCCCGUGAACCUUUACUAUAGCUUGACACUGAACAUUGAGCCUUGAUGUGUAGGAUAGGUGGGAGGCUUUGAAGUGUGGACGCCAGUCUGCAUGGAGCCGACCUUGAAAUACCACCCUUUAAUGUUUGAUGUUCUAACGUUGACCCGUAAUCCGGGUUGCGGACAGUGUCUGGUGGGUAGUUUGACUGGGGCGGUCUCCUCCUAAAGAGUAACGGAGGAGCACGAAGGUUGGCUAAUCCUGGUCGGACAUCAGGAGGUUAGUGCAAUGGCAUAAGCCAGCUUGACUGCGAGCGUGACGGCGCGAGCAGGUGCGAAAGCAGGUCAUAGUGAUCCGGUGGUUCUGAAUGGAAGGGCCAUCGCUCAACGGAUAAAAGGUACUCCGGGGAUAACAGGCUGAUACCGCCCAAGAGUUCAUAUCGACGGCGGUGUUUGGCACCUCGAUGUCGGCUCAUCACAUCCUGGGGCUGAAGUAGGUCCCAAGGGUAUGGCUGUUCGCCAUUUAAAGUGGUACGCGAGCUGGGUUUAGAACGUCGUGAGACAGUUCGGUCCCUAUCUGCCGUGGGCGCUGGAGAACUGAGGGGGGCUGCUCCUAGUACGAGAGGACCGGAGUGGACGCAUCACUGGUGUUCGGGUUGUCAUGCCAAUGGCACUGCCCGGUAGCUAAAUGCGGAAGAGAUAAGUGCUGAAAGCAUCUAAGCACGAAACUUGCCCCGAGAUGAGUUCUCCCUGACUCCUUGAGAGUCCUGAAGGAACGUUGAAGACGACGACGUUGAUAGGCCGGGUGUGUAAGCGCAGCGAUGCGUUGAGCUAACCGGUACUAAUGAACCGUGAGGCUUAACCUU